GACACGCAGAGGGACACCAGGCAUAGUCAAGGAUGGGGAACGGUGGAGCUGGUUUCUCCCCAUCACUUUCGCUGCCUGUCUUGGUCCAUCCUAACUCUCUGUCCCGACUCCCAAGCUAGCCUGGCCUGCCCGGGAGCUCCGGACUCCAGGACGCUCUCACUGCAGAGCACCACGCGCGGAAGCCGGAGCACGUGCGGGAGGUGGGAAUGGUACCUGGUGUGCUGAGCCGACACGGAGCUCUACUUUCCUCCAGGGAUGAGAUGGGGACAAAGCCUCUUUCUGGCCAGAAGAAAAUGGUCACAUUGUGACUCCCUCCUUCCCUCCAGGAAGGAUACUUAGGCUCCGCAUUUAAUCCAGGUGGGGCGGGGGCGGGGCACCCUUUCAAUGGAGCCCACUAGGUCCUUGGCAGAUAGUGGUUGGAGCACACACCGGUGAUGGUUAAUUCUGAGAGUCAUACUGACUAGGUUACAGAGUGUCCAGACCAUUUGAGAAAGCGUUAUUCUGGGUGUGUCCCCAGGGUUGAAGUGGCUGCUGCAGAACCUCUUGGCCCCAUGUCUCACCACAAGGGACUGUCCCUUUCUCCCAUGUGCCACGCCCUCGUAGCACUUGGGGAAAUUAGCUGCACCACUUAUACCCACAGGUGCCUCUGAAAUCUUCCUCACCCCUUCCCUCCCUUUGUUAGGGUUUCCAACAGAGCACGACCUGAACAAAAGUGGUUUCAUUUUCUCUUAAGGCGGUUGCUAGCUUGCCUGGUAAUGUCAGGUCUGGUGUCUCAGUCUAGCUUGGCCCCUCAUUAUCGCAAAGUGGCUGCAGUCGCUAUGAGCAUUGAACAUAUUUCAUUCAAGGAAGAGCAAUGAAGAAUGAUGGACAAAGUGCUUUUCCACAUUUAUCUUCCUCUUAUGUUGGAGAAAAAAGGCUUUGUCAGAAAUUUCCAAGAUUGUCCCCUUUCAUCUCGUUGUCCAGACAGCCAUGAGGGCUCCUCAGAGCAAGUCUGGAUGUACCUUCUUGAGAUCAAAGGAACUCAGUUGAGACCUGAGCAAAUUGGGUUCAUGGCGGCAGAGGAAAGGGGCGGAAGUGAGGGGGAACGGAUAGCCCAGGAGCAUGGUCUGUCUCCUUCCUCCACCAACUGCUGGUCCCGGGAGCUCGUCCAUGACAGGCAGGUAAACUGUUGCUCCUUGCAGAAGCGCCCUCAUUUUUUAAGGUCUAGCAGCACAUGCCCAUUCCUGGAACUUGGCUAACCCAGAUUCCAGAUGGACCUGUCUGUCACUCCAUCUGCUUCCGGAUGGAUCGUGUCAUGAUCUUGUGUUAUCAUUUAUUUUGGUAAGCUUUAUAGUGUGAGCAUAAACUGUGCCCAGAGGCUCGUGUGUUCAACACCUGGCCUCAGCUGCUGCUGGUGUUUUGAGAACCUUCAGGAGGUGGGGCCUCACUGGAGGAAGUGAACCACUGCAGGACGGGCCUUAUAUGGGUUAUAGUUAUGAUGAGGCCUUUCAUUUCAAUGUUUGUAUUUGUUAGGGUUUUCUAGUGUUAACAUAUAAAGUAUCUUACAGACUAUGGUCCAGCUAAUCAAACAAUGGCUGCCUAUAAAAAGAAGGCCCAAGAAUCCAGUAGUUGUUCAGUCCAUGAGCCUGAGGCUGGAUGUCUAAGCUGGUUGUCAGUACUAACCAGGAUUCCAAAAUAGACUCUAAUGCCAGUGAAG
This 1696-nucleotide long non-coding RNA is filed under the name Cricetulus griseus (Chinese hamster). RNAcentral describes it as "lncRNA (ENSCGRG00000025992.1)". Lineage: Eukaryota; Metazoa; Chordata; Mammalia; Rodentia; Cricetidae. The record is from RNAcentral.